This 497-nucleotide ribosomal RNA is filed under the name uncultured bacterium. RNAcentral's name for it is "partial 16S ribosomal RNA". It matches the Rfam family "Bacterial small subunit ribosomal RNA", at positions 28 to 507 of the family's 1533-position model. The record is from RNAcentral.
GAUGAACGCUGGCGGCGUGCCUAAUACAUGCAAGUCGAGCGAACAGACGAGGAGCUUGCUCCUCUGACGUUAGCGGCGGACGGGUGAGUAACACGUGUAUAACCUACCUAUAAGUCUGGUAUCACUUCGGGAAACCGGAUCUAAUACCGGAUAAUAUAUUGAACCACAUGGUUCAAUAGUGAAAUACGGUUUUGCUGUCACUUAUAGAGGGAUCCGCGCCGCAUUAGCUAGUUGUUAAGGUAACGGCUUACCAAGGCAACGAGGCGUAGCCGACCUGAGAGGGUGAUAGGCCACCCUGGAAGUGAGACACGGUCAAGACUCCUACGGGAGGCAGCAGUAGGCAAUCUUACGCAACAGGCGAAAGCAUGACGGAGCAACGCCGCGUGAGUGAUGAAGGCCUUCGGAUCGUAAAACUCUGUUAUUAGGGAAGAACAAAUGUGUCAGUAACUAUGCACGUCUUGACGGUACCUAAUAAGAAAGCAACGGCUAACUACGUG